UACAGAGGCCUCGAGCGUUAGGCGGAAUCACUGGGCUUAAAGCGCGUGUAGGCGGAUUCCUAAGUGUCUUGUGAAAUCCCACGGCUCAACCGUGGAACCGCUGGGCAUACUGGGAAUCUUGGGCCACUCAGGGGCAACCGGAACAAGCGGUGGAGCGGUGAAAUGCGUAGAUAUCGCUUGGAACGCCAAAGGUGAAGACAGGUUGCUGGGGGUGUGCCGACGCUGAGACGCGAAAGCCAGGGGAGCGAACGGG
RNAcentral lists this ribosomal RNA (253 nucleotides) under uncultured bacterium. RNAcentral describes it as "partial 16S ribosomal RNA". It matches the Rfam family "Bacterial small subunit ribosomal RNA", at positions 524 to 776 of the family's 1533-position model. The record is from RNAcentral.